This 281-nucleotide long non-coding RNA is filed under the name Brassica napus (rape). Its description in RNAcentral is "long non-coding RNA (BNAP_LNC002937)". Lineage: Eukaryota; Viridiplantae; Streptophyta; Magnoliopsida; Brassicales; Brassicaceae. The record is from RNAcentral.
GUUUAGAAUUUAGGGUAUAGGGUUUAGAAUUUAAGAUUUAGGGUUUAGGGUUUCGCUGGAAGCGUUAGCGUUUAAAAUUAGCGUUUUUAUUUUUUUGUAGCUAUUUAUUGUUUAAUUUAAUAUUUUUUAAUUAAUAGUUUAUGUGGAAAAUUGAUUGGUAAUAAAGGGUAGGGUGAACCUUUAAAUUCACCCCAUCAUUUAUUACCAAUCAAUUUUCCACAUAAACUAUUAAUUAAAAAAUAUUAAAUUAAACAAUAAAUAGCUACAAAAAAUAAAAACGC